Molecule: ribosomal RNA, 467 nt
Filed under: uncultured bacterium
Lineage: Bacteria
Description: partial 16S ribosomal RNA
Rfam family: Bacterial small subunit ribosomal RNA
Source: RNAcentral
GACGAACGCUGGCGGCGUGCUUAACACAUGCAAGUCGAACGAUGACGACCGAGCUUGCUCGGUCUGAUUAGUGGCGAACGGGUGAGUAACACGUGAGCAACCUGCCCUUCACUCUGGGAUAACCUCGGGAAAUCGGGGCUAAUACCGGAUAUGAGCUCCUGUCGCAUGGCGGGUGUUGGAAAGUUUUUCGGUGAAGGAUGGGCUCGCGGCCUAUCAGUUUGUUGGUGAGGUAGUGGCUCACCAAGGCGAUGGCGGGUAGCCGGCCUGAGAGGGCGACCGGCCACACUGGGACUGAGACACGGCCCAGACUCCUACGGGAGGCAGCAGUGGGGAAUAUUGCACAAUGGGCGAAAGCCUGAUGCAGCGACGCCGCGUGAGGGAUGACGGCCUUCGGGUUGUAAACCUCUUUCAGCAGGGAAGAAGCGAAAGUGACGGUACCUGCAGAAGAAGCGCCGGCUAACUACGUG